AUGAUGAUGAAAAACAAACCUUUUUA
Molecule: small nuclear RNA, 26 nt
Filed under: Arabidopsis thaliana (thale cress)
Lineage: Eukaryota; Viridiplantae; Streptophyta; Magnoliopsida; Brassicales; Brassicaceae
Description: snRNA_07606
Source: RNAcentral